UGCCCAUCCCUGUGUGCUAGGUGGGACCUCAGAGCUCAGUGCGGAGGACAGGAGAGCAGCUAAGCAGCGAGAAAAACAUCACAGAGUAGGUGUUUGCUGGGAUCUAACUGAUGGUUUUUCCUUUCUUUUUUUUAAGCCACAGACACCCCAGAACCAUGCUGCGGGAGCCCGAAGUCUCCGCCAGCGAAAGCAGAAGCAUUGCAUAGAGACGGUUGAUGCCGCUGUCGAUGGCGCUGUUGUUCUUGUUGAGCGAGGACGGCGGGCUGCAGUUCUGCUUGAGCGCAGCGUCUUCUUCCAGGCCUUCAUAGAGAGAGCUACGGAACGCCUUCACGACGCGGAUCUGCAAGGGACGUGCAGGCAUCAGCAGUGCCACCCUGGGGCCAGCGGGCGCUGGGGGCUCAGGGGCGCACGUCAGGAGGUGCCUGAAGGCGGCUGGAGUCUCAGCAGCCCAAGGUGGGGAGGGGGUGAUAGAGGGGGCUCAGACCAUGGACUUUCAUGGGCUGUGUGUUAGCUGGGGCAGCUCAUGGCACCCAUGGGAGGGAUGACGGAAGCCACCGGCUAACAAGGGCAUCGGCCACUGAGGGGGGUGGGGCGAGGGUCCCCAGACCUAGGGAGAGACUGAGCCUGGUUAACUUCAAAGCAGAGUUUUGACCAUGCAGAAGGGGUGGUGGGCCAGGUGGGAGGAAAAAGGGCAGGCUGUUUGAGAAAAUUUAUCUUAAAUAA
Ochotona princeps (American pika) is the source of this 723-nucleotide long non-coding RNA. RefSeq lists it as uncharacterized. NCBI's taxonomy places the organism in Eukaryota, Metazoa, Chordata, Mammalia, Lagomorpha, Ochotonidae. The transcript has 3 exons. The record is from RefSeq and is a predicted model, not a curated record.